ACACUCCUGCGGGAGGCAGCAGUGGGGAAUAUUGGACAAUGGGCGCAAGCCUGAUCCAGCCAUGCCGCGUGAGUGAUGAAGGCCCUAGGGUUGUAAAGCUCUUUUGUGCGGGAAGAUAAUGACGGUACCGCAAGAAUAAGCCCCGGCUAACUUCGUGCCAGCAGCCGCGGUAAUACGAAGGGGGCUAGCGUUGCUCGGAAUCACUGGGCGUAAAGGGUGCGUAGGCGGGUCUUUAAGUCAGGGGUGAAAUCCUGGAGCUCAACUCCAGAACUGCCUUUGAUACUGAAGAUCUUGAGUUCGGGAGAGGUGAGUGGAACUGCGAGUGUAGAGGUGAAAUUCGUAGAUAUUCGCAAGAACACCAGUGGCGAAGGCGGCUCACUGGCCCGAUACUGACGCUGAGGCACGAAAGCGUGGGGAGCAAACAGGAUUAGAUACCCUGUAGUCCCAUGAU
RNAcentral lists this ribosomal RNA (451 nucleotides) under uncultured organism. RNAcentral's name for it is "partial 16S ribosomal RNA". It matches the Rfam family "Bacterial small subunit ribosomal RNA", at positions 333 to 801 of the family's 1533-position model. The record is from RNAcentral.